RNAcentral lists this ribosomal RNA (562 nucleotides) under Xylaria allantoidea. Its description in RNAcentral is "eukaryotic LSU rRNA". It matches the Rfam family "Eukaryotic large subunit ribosomal RNA", at positions 62 to 648 of the family's 3401-position model. Lineage: Eukaryota; Fungi; Ascomycota; Sordariomycetes; Xylariales; Xylariaceae. The record is from RNAcentral.
AAACCAACAGGGAUUGCCCUAGUAACGGCGAGUGAAGCGGCAACAGCUCAAAUUUGAAAUCUGGCCUUCGGGUCCGAGUUGUAAUUUGUAGAGGAUGCUUUUGGCGCGGUGCCUUCCGAGUUCCUUGGAACAGGACGCCUUAGAGGGUGAGAGCCCCGUACGGUUGGACACCAAGCCUCUGUAAAGCUCCUUCGACGAGUCGAGUAGUUUGGGAAUGCUGCUCUAAAUGGGAGGUAAAUUUCUUCUAAAGCUAAAUAUUGGCCAGAGACCGAUAGCGCACAAGUAGAGUGAUCGAAAGAUGAAAAGCACUUUGAAAAGAGGGUUAAAUAGCACGUGAAAUUGUUGAAAGGGAAGCGUUUGCGACCAGACCUUUUCCUAGCGGAUCAUCCGGUGUUCUCACCGGUGCACUUCGCUAGGUUUAGGCCAGCAUCGGUCUCUGUAGGGGGAUAAAAGCCCUGGGAACGUAGCUCCCUCGGGAGUGUUAUAGCCCUCUGCAUAAUACCCUUACGGGGACCGAGGACCGCGCUUCGGCAAGGAUGCUGGCGUAAUGGUCGUCAACGAC